Long non-coding RNA from Corythoichthys intestinalis (scribbled pipefish), 1328 nucleotides. RefSeq lists it as uncharacterized. The record is from RefSeq and is a predicted model, not a curated record. The transcript is spliced from 3 exons. Lineage: Eukaryota; Metazoa; Chordata; Actinopteri; Syngnathiformes; Syngnathidae.
UACGAAUGCAUUAAAAAAAACUUUAGCACAAACAAAAACUUAUGUUGGUCUUAACAGGAAGCAGCUGGAUGCAGCCAUGUAAAAUGAGGUAUGUCCUAUUCACUCUUGCCACUAAAGGGCAGUGUAUCCACCCAAAUCAAUAAAACUAAAUGCAAACACUUUCAGAAACAUUAUAACACCACUUUAAUUAAAUACUCAAAGCAGCAAAAUUUAAUUUGUAUCUUUUUACUAAUCGGAUUACUUGAAUUAAUCGAUUAACCGUGCGACACUAAUCUGUAUAUCUAAAAAAUGAAAGCAGCACAAAUAAAGCAUAAACGAUAGACACUAUUUACGAUAGCGGCACAAACAAAACUAUUUACAGCACAAACGAUUGAUAUUUUUAUUUGCGUCCGAUUGGGGGCAAACUUCACGGAGGUCUACAACCAUCCUUCUACUGUGAGUUUAUCAAAGUAGACGUCCAAUCCGUUUAAAGCGGGAGGGGUGGAAGCGAAUGAACGAAUUCAUUGAACGGAAUUCAUUCGCUGCCACCCCUCCCACUUUAAACGGAUUGGACGUCUAAAGCUUCAAAUUAUUAUUUUUUGUUUAUUAUUAAUUGCUUUCUAUUAUAAAUUCAAGGGUACAGGCUCUGGAAUUCUAUUUUUUCUUUUAAUUUCAUUUAUUUAUUUAUGGCAAAAGGUUGCUACUGGAUUUUGGUAUGUCAAAUGCAGUCUAUAAAUUAACUUGUAUAAGUUGAAAAAAAAAAUCCAAAAUGAUUAUAUUUUAUUGUCCUGGAUAAUCUAUCUUGAAACUUGUUGUUUUAAAAUUAAAAUGCUUCUGUUUGAUUUAAAAAAAAAAAAAAAAAAAAAACUUGUGGCCCCUCUGGUAAAUUGUGCUCAUGUCCCUUUAAGAUGACAUCACUUUUGUGCGAUAACAACACACCAGUGGCGGGAAGUUCAACUGUGACGAGAGCGUCGACUCUGGCCUUGAAGGAGGUAUUUCAAACAAUGCACGACAUGCAAUGCGGAUGAGGUCAGCGUUUCAAUGAGAUCCAUGCACCAAUCCUUCCCGAAUACGCCAUCGAUGGCGAGAGAGGCUGCCUGUUGCUGCUGAUGCUCUGCAAAUAGAAAGGUUUUGUAUACUGACUGUUUAAGGGACUAGGCGGGAUUUUUAGAGUUAAUUUAAAAGACUUCCCUACUCCGUGUAAGAUUGCACUUCCAAAAGAGCAUGAAAUAAACUGUGACACCUUUUUGAAACGAUAUAUCGAUUCUUGUCGGGAACAUAUAGAUAAAGUGGUAUGAAAAAGUAUCUGAACCUUUUCGAAUUUCUCACAUUUCUGCAUAAAAUCCCCA